GACGGAGGGGGCAAGCGUUGUCCGGAAUCACUGGGCGUAAAGCGCGUGUAGGCGGUCGCGUGCGUCGGUGCUGAAAGCGCCCGGCUUAACCGGGCGAGGCGUGCCGAUACGAUGCGACUGGAGGCAGGCAGAGGGCGGCGGAAUUCCGGGUGUAGCGGUGAAAUGCGUAGAGCUCCGGAGGAACGCCGGUGGGGGAGCCGGCCGCCUGGGCCUGACCUGACGCUGAGACGCGACAGAGUGGGGAGCAAACCGG
Molecule: ribosomal RNA, 253 nt
Filed under: uncultured bacterium
Lineage: Bacteria
Description: partial 16S ribosomal RNA
Rfam family: Bacterial small subunit ribosomal RNA
Source: RNAcentral